This is a non-coding RNA of Ailuropoda melanoleuca (giant panda), 73 nucleotides long. The record is from Rfam. Lineage: Eukaryota; Metazoa; Chordata; Mammalia; Carnivora; Ursidae.
GCCUGGCUGGCUCAGUCUGAAGAGCAUGCGACUCUUGAUCUCAAGGUUGUGAGUUCGAGCCCUGCGCUGGGUG